GUGCUCACUUUAGCAGCACAUAUACUAAAAUUGGAAUGAUACAGAGAAGAUUAGCAUGGCCCCUGCGCAAGAAUGACAUGAAAAUUUGUGAAGCGUUCCCUAUUUUU
Molecule: small nuclear RNA, 107 nt
Filed under: Colobus angolensis palliatus
Lineage: Eukaryota; Metazoa; Chordata; Mammalia; Primates; Cercopithecidae
Source: RNAcentral